This 463-nucleotide ribosomal RNA is filed under the name uncultured bacterium. RNAcentral describes it as "partial 16S ribosomal RNA". It matches the Rfam family "Bacterial small subunit ribosomal RNA", at positions 339 to 795 of the family's 1533-position model. The record is from RNAcentral.
CUACGGGACGCACCAGUGAGGAAUUUUGCGCAAUGGGGGAAACCCUGACGCAGCAACGCCGCGUGAGCGAAGAAGGCCCUCGGGUCGUAAAGCUCUGUCAAGUGGGAAAAAAGCCUUUUGAUCAAUACCCAAAAGGUUUGAUGGUACCACUGGAGGAAGCACCGGCUAACUCCGUGCCAGCAGCCGCGGUAAUACGGAGGGUGCAAGCGUUGUUCGGAAUUACUGGGCGUAAAGGGCGUGCAGGCGGUUUGGCAAGUCAGAUGUGAAAGCCCUGGGCUUAACCCGGGAAGUGCAUUUGAACUGCCUUUCUUGAGGAUGGGAGAGGAGAGUGGAAUGCCCAGUGUAGAGGUGAAAUUCGUAGAUAUUGGGAGGAACACCCGUGACGAAGGCGACUCUCUGGACCAAUACUGACGCUGAGACGCGAAAGCGUGGGGAGCAAACAGGAUUAGAUACCCUUGUAGUC